Molecule: transfer RNA, 67 nt
Filed under: Aromia bungii
Lineage: Eukaryota; Metazoa; Arthropoda; Insecta; Coleoptera; Cerambycidae
Description: tRNA-Ile
Source: RNAcentral
AGUGGAGUGCCUGAAUAAAGGACAAUUUUGAUAGAAUUGAAUAUGUAGGAGCCCCCUGCCUCCACUU